Molecule: ribosomal RNA, 157 nt
Filed under: Dasyspora emarginatae
Lineage: Eukaryota; Fungi; Basidiomycota; Pucciniomycetes; Pucciniales; Sphaerophragmiaceae
Description: 5.8S ribosomal RNA
Rfam family: 5.8S ribosomal RNA
About the family: 5.8S ribosomal RNA (5.8S rRNA) is a component of the large subunit of the eukaryotic ribosome.
Source: RNAcentral
AUAACUUUUAACAAUGGAUCUCUAGGCUCUCACAUUGAUGAAGAACACAGUGAAAUGUGAUAAGUAAUGUGAAUUGCAGAAUUCAGUGAAUCAUCAAAUCUUUGAACGCACCUUGCACUUUUUGGAAUUCCAAAAGGUACACCUGUUUGAGUGUCAU